Molecule: small RNA, 65 nt
Filed under: Arabidopsis thaliana (thale cress)
Lineage: Eukaryota; Viridiplantae; Streptophyta; Magnoliopsida; Brassicales; Brassicaceae
Description: ATSL198730
Source: RNAcentral
AAGCCUUAGACUCAUACGGACUUCGGCUACACCAUGAAAGCAUUAAGAAGCAAGAACAAGCUUGU